AUUGAACGCUGGCGGCAUGCCUAACACAUGCAAGUCGAACGGUAACAGGUCUUCGGAUGCUGACGAGUGGCGGACGGGUGAGUAAUGCGUAGGAAUCUGUCUUUUAGUGGGGGACAACCCAGGGAAACUUGGGCUAAUACCGCAUGAGCCCUGAGGGGGAAAGCGGGGGAUCUUCGGACCUCGCGCUAAGGGAAGAGCCUACGUCUGAUUAGCUAGUUGGUAGGGUAAAGGCCUACCAAGGCGACGAUCAGUAGCUGGUCUGAGAGGACGACCAGCCACACUGGGACUGAGACACGGCCCAGACUCCUACGGGAGGCAGCAGUGGGGAAUUUUUCGCAAUGGGGGCAACCCUGACGAAGCAAUGCCGCGUGGAUGAAGAAGGCCUUCGGGUUGUAAAGUCCUUUCGUGGGGGACGAAAAGGCGGGUCCUAAUACGAUCUGCUGUUGACGUGAACCCAAGAAGAAGCACCGGCUAACUCCGUGCCAGCAGCCGCGGUAAUACGGGGGGUGCAAGCGUUAAUCGGAAUCACUGGGCGUAAAGGGUGCGUAGGCGGUACGUUAGGUCUGUCGUGAAAUCCCCGGGCUCAACCUGGGAAUGGCGGUAGAAACCGGCGAACUAGAGUAUGGGAGAGGGUGGUGGAAUUCCAGGUGUAGCGGUGAAAUGCGUAGAGAUCUGGAGGAACAUCAGUGGCGAAAGGCGGCCACCUGGCCCAAUACUGACGCUGAGGCACGAAAGCGUGGGGAGCAAACAGGAUUAGAUACCCUGGUAGUCCACGCCCUAAACGAUGAAUACUAGAUGUUUGGUACCUAGCGUACUGAGUGUCGUAGCUAGCGCGAUAAGUAUUCCGCCUGGGAAGUACGGCCGCAAGGUUAAAACUCAAAGGAAUUGACGGGGGCCCGC
RNAcentral lists this ribosomal RNA (900 nucleotides) under uncultured bacterium. Its description in RNAcentral is "bacterial SSU rRNA". It matches the Rfam family "Bacterial small subunit ribosomal RNA", at positions 28 to 924 of the family's 1533-position model. The record is from RNAcentral.